UGGGGAUGUAGCUCAGUGGGAGAGCACUUACUUCCUGUGCACACAGCCCUGGGUUCAAUCCCCAGUACUUAA
Molecule: transfer RNA, 72 nt
Filed under: Marmota monax (woodchuck)
Lineage: Eukaryota; Metazoa; Chordata; Mammalia; Rodentia; Sciuridae
Description: tRNA.Arg
Source: RNAcentral